Molecule: ribosomal RNA, 460 nt
Filed under: uncultured bacterium
Lineage: Bacteria
Description: partial 16S ribosomal RNA
Rfam family: Bacterial small subunit ribosomal RNA
Source: RNAcentral
CCUACGGGUGGCAGCAGUGAGGAAUAUUGGUCAAUGGGCGAGAGCCUGAACCAGCCAAGUCGCGUGAAGGAUGAAGGCUCUAUGGGUUGUAAACUUCUUUUAUAAAGGAAUAAAGUGAGGCACGUGUGCCUUUUUGUAUGUACUUUAUGAAUAAGCAUCGGCUAACUCCGUGCCAGCAGCCGCGGUAAUACGGAGGAUCCGAGCGUUAUCCGGAUUUAUUGGGUUUAAAGGGUGCGUAGAUGGUUUGUUAAGUCAGUUGUGAAAGUUUGCGGCUCAACCGUAAAAUUGCAAUUGAUACUGGCAGCCUUGAGUACAGUUGAGGUAGGCGGAAUUCGUGGUGUAGCGGUGAAAUGCUUAGAUAUCACGAAGAACUCCGAUUGCGAAGGCAGCUUACUAAACUGCCACUGACAUUGAUGCUCGAAAGCGUGGGUAUCAAACAGGAUUAGAUACCCUUGUAGUC